AGGUGGCCUUUGUGGCGAUCCGAGGGUUGACAGAACACGGCGACACGGCGCUGGACAACGUGGCUGUCAGGAGUGGGCCUUGCGAUGUCUCCAGUUCUACGACUCCUCCUACAACAAUCCCAGAAACAACUCCUCUCUUCACCACCCCACUGUGGACAACCAUGCCAACUCAGGCACCAGAUCCCUGGGUUCACUGCGAUUUCUCUUGCUCCUUUGACGUGGACUUCUGCUCCUGGAGACAGCUGCCCUCGGACACAUUUGACUGGAAGCGGCACAAAGGCCCCACAUCCUCAGCAGACACUGGGCCGCCCUAUGACCACA
This is a non-coding RNA of Podarcis muralis (Common wall lizard), 321 nucleotides long. The record is from RefSeq and is a predicted model, not a curated record. NCBI's taxonomy places the organism in Eukaryota, Metazoa, Chordata, Lepidosauria, Squamata, Lacertidae.